GAUGAAGAACGCAGCGAAAUGCGAUAAGUAAUGUGAAUCGCAGAAUUCAGUGAAUCAUCGAAUCUUUGAACGCACCUUGCGCUCCUUGGUAUUCCGAGGAGCAUGCCUGUUUGAGUGUCAUGAAAUUCUCAACCUUUUCAGCUUUCUUUGUUGAUCAGGCUUGGAUGUGGGAGUAUGCGGGCUUCUCAGAAGUCGGCUAUCCUGAAAUGCAUUAGCGGGACCUUUGUUGCCUGGCUUUGGUGUGAUAAUUAUCUACGCCAUUGUAGUCAAGCAGCUUAAAAUGAGGUUUCAGCUUCUAACCGUCUCCCCUGAGACAACUUUUUGACAAUUUGACCUCAAAUCAGGUAGGACUACCCGCUGAACUUAAGCAUAUCAAUAAGCGGAGGA
This 387-nucleotide unclassified non-coding RNA is filed under the name soil metagenome. RNAcentral describes it as "partial contains 5.8S ribosomal RNA, internal transcribed spacer 2, and large subunit ribosomal RNA". The stretch from base 1 to 120 matches the Rfam family "5.8S ribosomal RNA", at positions 35 to 154 of the family's 154-position model. The record is from RNAcentral.